UUGAACGCUGGCGGCAUGCUUUACACAUGCAAGUCGAACGGUAACAGGCCGCAAGGUGCUGACGGGUGGCGAACGGGUGAGUAAUGCAUCGGAACGUGCCCAGUCGUGGGGGAUAACGCAGCGAAAGCUGUGCUAAUACCGCAUACGAUCUAUGGAUGAAAGCGGGGGACCGUAAGGCCUCGCGCGAUUGGAGCGGCCGACGUCUGAUUAGCUAGUUGGUGGGGUAAAGGCUCACCAAGGCGACGAUCAGUAGCGGGUCUGGGAGGAUGAUCCGUCACACUGGAACUGAGACACGGUACAGACUCCUACGGGAGGCAGCAGUGGGGAAUUUUGGACAAUGGGGGCAACCCUGAUCCAGCCAUUCCGCGUGAGUGAAGAAGGCCUUCGGGUUGUAAAGCUCUUUCAGCCGGAACGAAACGGUACGCUCUAACAUAGCGUGCUAAUGACGGUACCGGCAGAAGAAGCACCGGCUAACUACGU
RNAcentral lists this ribosomal RNA (480 nucleotides) under uncultured bacterium. RNAcentral describes it as "bacterial SSU rRNA". It matches the Rfam family "Bacterial small subunit ribosomal RNA", at positions 30 to 506 of the family's 1533-position model. The record is from RNAcentral.